RNAcentral lists this transfer RNA (76 nucleotides) under Candidatus Pacearchaeota archaeon. RNAcentral describes it as "tRNA-Thr". It matches the Rfam family "tRNA". From Rfam's summary of the family: Transfer RNA (tRNA) molecules are approximately 80 nucleotides in length. Their secondary structure includes four short double-helical elements and three loops (D, anti-codon, and T loops). The record is from RNAcentral. Lineage: Archaea; Nanobdellati.
GCCUAUGUAGCUCAGUCGGAAGAGCACACCCUUGGUAGGGGUGAGGUCGCCAGUUCGAUUCUGGCCGUAGGCUCCA